Molecule: long non-coding RNA, 110 nt
Organism: Lontra canadensis (Northern American river otter)
Lineage: Eukaryota; Metazoa; Chordata; Mammalia; Carnivora; Mustelidae
Exons: 3
Source: RefSeq, a predicted model, not a curated record
GAAAACAUAGAUCAAUAGAAUAGAAUAGAGUGCCUAGCAAUAAACUCACGCAUAUAUGGUCAAAUGAAUUUAUAACAAGGGAGCCAAGAAUAAACCAUGGGGAAGAGACA